AAAAGAACUUUGAAGAGAGAGUUCAAGAGGACGUGAAACCACUGGUGGCGAAGCGGAUAGAGUUGAUUAAGCUGGUAGCAUUCAGUGCUGAGUGUGUUACUGCUGCUGCUAGCGGGCUUUGCGGCAUGCAAGGUGGCUGGUGGCUGGUAAGUGCGGCUCGGUGCGCAUUUGCGAUUGGCUAACGUUGAGGCGCUCGGUUGCCCCUUCCGAAGUGAGGCGUGUUGCCCACCCUUGCUGGUGGUGUCUUGCGCAGCGCGGAGGUUGUUUGUGGCGGCUGAGUGUAAAGAGAGCAUCGCUUUCGCGCGCGUGCUCGCUAGCGUGCGUCUAGUAGUGGCGGUGACUUGUCACUUGUUGCUGCUAUGGCGUAUGUGUGGUGGGUUUGUGCUUGCGUGCUCGUCUUCGGCGUGAUCGUCAACCACCUAUCCGACCCGUCUUGAAACACGGACCAAGAAGUGUAGUAUUUGCGCGAGUCAUUGGGUGUCCAAACCUAAAGGCGAAAUGAAAGUAAAGGCAGCCUUGCGUUGCUGAUAUGUGAUCCGUGCGUUUUCGAAUGUGCGGCGCAACAUAGCCCCAUGCCAGCUGCUUGCAGCGGUGUGGCGGUAGAGCGUAAAUACUGCGACCCGAAAGAUGGUGAACUAUGCCUGAGCAGGAUGAAGCCAGAGGAAACUCUGGUGGAAGUCCGAAGCGGUUCUGACGUGCAAAUCGAUCGUCUGACUUGGGUAUAGGGGCGAAAGACUAAUCGAACCAUC
RNAcentral lists this ribosomal RNA (749 nucleotides) under Diplogasteromorpha sp. LT. Its description in RNAcentral is "partial large subunit ribosomal RNA". It matches the Rfam family "Eukaryotic large subunit ribosomal RNA", at positions 367 to 944 of the family's 3401-position model. The record is from RNAcentral. Lineage: Eukaryota; Metazoa; Nematoda; Chromadorea; Rhabditida.